This 846-nucleotide ribosomal RNA is filed under the name Epicoccum sp. Its description in RNAcentral is "LSU rRNA". It matches the Rfam family "Eukaryotic large subunit ribosomal RNA", at positions 74 to 938 of the family's 3401-position model. RNAcentral also lists the same sequence under 1 other name. Lineage: Eukaryota; Fungi; Ascomycota; Dothideomycetes; Pleosporales; Didymellaceae. The record is from RNAcentral.
AUUGCCCUAGUAACGGCGAGUGAAGCGGCAACAGCUCAAAUUUGAAAUCUGGCGUCUUCGGCGUCCGAGUUGUAAUUUGCAGAGGGCGCUUUGGCAUUGGCAGCGGUCCAAGUUCCUUGGAACAGGACGUCACAGAGGGUGAGAAUCCCGUACGUGGUCGCUAGCCUUUACCGUGUAAAGCCCCUUCGACGAGUCGAGUUGUUUGGGAAUGCAGCUCUAAAUGGGAGGUAAAUUUCUUCUAAAGCUAAAUACUGGCCAGAGACCGAUAGCGCACAAGUAGAGUGAUCGAAAGAUGAAAAGCACUUUGGAAAGAGAGUUAAAAAGCACGUGAAAUUGUUGAAAGGGAAGCGCUUGCAGCCAGACUUGCCUGUAGUUGCUCAUCCGGGUUUUUACCCGGUGCACUCUUCUAUAGGCAGGCCAGCAUCAGUUUGGGCGGUUGGAUAAAGGUCUCUGUCAUGUACCUCCUCUCGGGGAGAACUUAUAGGGGAGACGACAUGCAACCAGCCCGGACUGAGGUCCGCGCAUCUGCUAGGAUGCUGGCGUAAUGGCUGUAAGCGGCCCGUCUUGAAACACGGACCAAGGAGUCUAACAUCUAUGCGAGUGUUUGGGUGUCAAGCCCGAGCGCGUAAUGAAAGUGAACGGAGGUGGGAACCUUUCGGGGUGCACCAUCGACCGAUCCUGAUGUCUUCGGAUGGAUUUGAGUAAGAGCAUAGCUGUUGGGACCCGAAAGAUGGUGAACUAUGCUUGAAUAGGGUGAAGCCAGAGGAAACUCUGGUGGAGGCUCGCAGCGGUUCUGACGUGCAAAUCGAUCGUCAAAUUUGGGCAUAGGGGCGAAAGACUAAUCGA